This 911-nucleotide ribosomal RNA is filed under the name Microbacterium hydrocarbonoxydans. RNAcentral's name for it is "bacterial SSU rRNA". It matches the Rfam family "Bacterial small subunit ribosomal RNA", at positions 36 to 956 of the family's 1533-position model. Lineage: Bacteria; Bacillati; Actinomycetota; Actinomycetes; Micrococcales; Microbacteriaceae. The record is from RNAcentral.
CUGGCGGCGUGCUUAACACAUGCAAGUCGAACGGUGAACACGGAGCUUGCUCUGUGGGAUCAGUGGCGAACGGGUGAGUAACACGUGAGCAACCUGCCCCUGACUCUGGGAUAAGCGCUGGAAACGGCGUCUAAUACUGGAUACGAACCACGAAGGCAUCUUCAGUGGUUGGAAAGAAUUUCGGUUGGGGAUGGGCUCGCGGCCUAUCAGCUUGUUGGUGAGGUAAUGGCUCACCAAGGCGUCGACGGGUAGCCGGCCUGAGAGGGUGACCGGCCACACUGGGACUGAGACACGGCCCAGACUCCUACGGGAGGCAGCAGUGGGGAAUAUUGCACAAUGGGCGCAAGCCUGAUGCAGCAACGCCGCGUGAGGGAUGACGGCCUUCGGGUUGUAAACCUCUUUUAGCAGGGAAGAAGCGAAAGUGACGGUACCUGCAGAAAAAGCGCCGGCUAACUACGUGCCAGCAGCCGCGGUAAUACGUAGGGCGCAAGCGUUAUCCGGAAUUAUUGGGCGUAAAGAGCUCGUAGGCGGUUUGUCGCGUCUGCUGUGAAAUCCGGAGGCUCAACCUCCGGCCUGCAGUGGGUACGGGCAGACUAGAGUGCGGUAGGGGAGAUUGGAAUUCCUGGUGUAGCGGUGGAAUGCGCAGAUAUCAGGAGGAACACCGAUGGCGAAGGCAGAUCUCUGGGCCGUAACUGACGCUGAGGAGCGAAAGGGUGGGGAGCAAACAGGCUUAGAUACCCUGGUAGUCCACCCCGUAAACGUUGGGAACUAGUUGUGGGGUCCAUUCCACGGAUUCCGUGACGCAGCUAACGCAUUAAGUUCCCCGCCUGGGGAGUACGGCCGCAAGGCUAAAACUCAAAGGAAUUGACGGGGACCCGCACAAGCGGCGGAGCAUGCGGAUUAAUUCGAUG